AUUGAACGCUGGCGGCAGGCCUAACACAUGCAAGUCGAGCGAGCGGCGGACGGGUGAGUAAUGUAUGGGGACUGCCCGAUAGAGGGGGAUAACUACUGGGAACGGUGGCUAAUACCGCAUACUAUCGGAUAACCAAUAUGGGAUUAGCUAGUAGGUGGGGGAAAGGCUCACCUAGUCGACGAUCUCUAGCUGGUCGGAGAGGAGGAACGCGCACACUGGGCCGGAGACAGGGCCCAGACUCCAACGGAGGCAGCAGUGGGGAAUAUUGCCCAAUAGGCGCAAGCCUGCUGCAGCCAGGCCGCGUGUAUGAAGAAGGCCUUAGGGUUGUAAAGUACUUUCAGCGGGGAGGCGUUACCCGCAGAGGAAGCACCGGCUAACUCCGUGCCAGCAGCCGCGGUAAUUC
RNAcentral lists this ribosomal RNA (403 nucleotides) under uncultured bacterium. RNAcentral describes it as "partial 16S ribosomal RNA". It matches the Rfam family "Bacterial small subunit ribosomal RNA", at positions 29 to 526 of the family's 1533-position model. The record is from RNAcentral.